RNAcentral lists this non-coding RNA (98 nucleotides) under Kurthia massiliensis. Its description in RNAcentral is "SAM riboswitch (S box leader)". It matches the Rfam family "SAM riboswitch aptamer (S box leader)". Rfam says of the family: The SAM riboswitch is found upstream of a number of genes which code for proteins involved in methionine or cysteine biosynthesis in Gram-positive bacteria. The SAM riboswitch acts at the level of transcription termination control. The predicted structure consists of a complex stem-loop region followed by a single stem loop terminator region. The record is from RNAcentral. Lineage: Bacteria; Bacillati; Bacillota; Bacilli; Caryophanales; Caryophanaceae.
UUUAUCAAGAGCGACGGAGGGAUUAGGCCCGACGAUGUCCAGCAACCCCCAAUAUGGGAAGGUGCUAAUUCCUACAGAAUUCAUUUCUGAAAGAUAAA